GAUGAACGCUGGCGGCGUGCUUAACACAUGCAAGUCGAACGGACAGGCGAUGCGCUUGUGGGGUGCACGAGAGGCGCACGCGUGUGUAACACGUGAGUAACCUGCCCUUGAAUUUGGGAUAACUUCAGGAAACUGGGGCUAAUACCGGAUAGGAGCUCCUGCUGCGUGUUGGGGGUUGGAAAGUUUCGGCGGUUCGGGAUGGACUCGCGGCUUAUCAGCUUGUUGGUCGGGUAGUGGCUUACCAAGCGUAUGACGGGUAGCCGGCCUGAGAGCGUGAACAGCGACCAUGGGACUACGAGACGCCCCAGUCUCCUACGGGCGGCAGCAGUGGGGAGUCUGACACAAUGGGCGGACGCCUGAUGCAGCAGCGCUGCGUGCGGGAUGCCGUCCUACUAGUGGAAAACCGCUUUCGCCUGUGACGAAGCGUGCUUGACGGUAAUGGGUCAAGAAGCACCGGCUAACUACGUG
This 468-nucleotide ribosomal RNA is filed under the name uncultured bacterium. Its description in RNAcentral is "partial 16S ribosomal RNA". It matches the Rfam family "Bacterial small subunit ribosomal RNA", at positions 28 to 507 of the family's 1533-position model. The record is from RNAcentral.